AGCGAACGCUGGCGGCAGGCUUAACACAUGCAAGUCGAACGCCCCGCAAGGGGAGUGGCAGACGGGUGAGUAACACGUGGGAACGUACCCUUUGGUUCGGAAUAACUUGGGGAAACUCAAGCUAAUACCGGAUAAGCCCUUAUGGGGAAAGGUUUACUGCCGAAGGAUCGGCCCGCGUCUGAUUAGCUAGUUGGUGAGGUAAUGGCGCACCAAGGCGACGAUCAGUAGCUGGUCUGAGAGGAUGAUCAGCCACACUGGGACUGAGACACGGCCCAGACUCCUACGGGAGGCAGCAGUGGGGAAUAUUGGACAAUGGGGGCAACCCUGAUCCUGCCAUGCCGCGUGAGUGAUGAAGGCCUUAGGGUUGUACAGCUCUUUUACCCGGGACGAUAAUGACUGUACCGGGAGAAUAAGCCCCGGCUAACUUCGUGCCAGCCGCCGCAGUAA
Molecule: ribosomal RNA, 447 nt
Filed under: uncultured bacterium
Lineage: Bacteria
Description: partial 16S ribosomal RNA
Rfam family: Bacterial small subunit ribosomal RNA
Source: RNAcentral